Molecule: ribosomal RNA, 439 nt
Filed under: uncultured bacterium
Lineage: Bacteria
Description: partial 16S ribosomal RNA
Rfam family: Bacterial small subunit ribosomal RNA
Source: RNAcentral
CUACGGGGUGCAGCAGUGGGGAAUAUUGCACAAUGGGGGAAACCCUGAUGCAGCGACGCCGCGUGAAGGAUGAAGGAUUUCGGUUCGUAAACUUCUAUCAGCAGGGAAGAUAGUGACUGUACCUGACUAAGAAGCCCCGGCUAACUACGUGCCAGCAGCCGCGGUAAUACGUAGGGGGCAAGCGUUAUCCGGAAUUACUGGGUGUAAAGGGUGCGUAGGUGGCUUGUUAAGCCAGAUGUGAAAGCCCGGGGCUCAACCCCGGGACUGCAUUUGGAACUGGCAAGCUAGAAUACAGGAGAGGUAAGUGGAAUUCCUAGUGUGGCGGUGAUAUGCGUAGAUAUUAGGAGGAACACCAGUGGCGAAGGCGACUUACUGGACUGUUAUUGACACUGAGGCGCGAAAGCGUGGGGAGCGAACAGGAUUAGAUACCCUCGUAGUC